UACGUGCAGUAUCCAUCUGAUGCAACGCUGAUGAGCUUACAAGGGGAGGACUCGGUGAGCAGCAAUGCUGGUCCGGCGGCGGCGGGUAUGUCAGUUCUUGGAGACCUGGUGGCCGAAGGAGCUGGCGGUGUGGAGGAUGCGGUACCCGCUGAUUCAGCAGAGUCCACUGGGCACGGGAAUCCCAGUUCGCCUGGCUGGACAAAAAGGUACGGGUCGGCUGUGCCCCGCCAGACAGAACUCAUUGCGUGGACAUGCAAAGCGCACUAGAGAAAUUGGUCCGGUGUUAUGCAGAGAAGUUGGGAGACAAUGUCAUUGACCCUUCGCUUGGUACAAGUUUCGACUCCCUGAGUGAAGCCUACGAUUUUUAUAACCUGUACUCCUGGGAGCAUGGCUUUGGGAUCAGAUAUGGAAAGAGCCGGUUAAACGCAGAGAAAACAAAAUGCAUGCUAGAAAUCGUCUGCGGUUCCUCGGGGAAACCCACUGCGGAGAAUACAAGGUCCUGUCGGUGUGAAUGCCCUGCCAUGAUCCGGCUGCUGAGAUCCGUAGAUAAUGGUUGGCACAUUACAGAGCACCGGGUCACUCAUAACCUUGUGCUGACUGAGAUGUGAACAUAGACAUGUUCACAAAGGACUUGGUGAAACAGCUAAGAGCCAACAAACAUUAAUAUUGGCAAGGUUUACAACAUCAUUGGUAGCUACUUUGGAAGCGUUGACAACCUACCGUUCACGAAGCGAUCACUUCGUAAUUUGUGUGGCCAGCUUAGUCGAGAAGAGGCCAAUGAUGAUGUAAGAAAAACAAUUGAAGUUUUUGACCAGAUAGGUGCGAAGGACCCAGAUUUUGUGUUGAGAGUCCAGGCUGACACGGAUACCAGGAUCAAGAACCUCAGGGCGGCUGCAAUAUAAUAUUUUGGUGAUGUCGUAACAUUUGACACGACAUAUAAAACCAACCUGUGUGACAUGCCUUCCGGUCUAUUCGUAGGUGUUAAUAAUCACUUCCAGAGCAUGAUUUUAGGAGGGGUGAUGGUGAGGGAUGAGCAGGUGGAGAGCUUCGAGUAGGUGUUUACAGAAUUCAUCCGCAUGAUGGAGGUGUGCCU
Lolium rigidum is the source of this 1093-nucleotide long non-coding RNA. RefSeq lists it as uncharacterized. Lineage: Eukaryota; Viridiplantae; Streptophyta; Magnoliopsida; Poales; Poaceae. The transcript is spliced from 3 exons. The record is from RefSeq and is a predicted model, not a curated record.